GGGGGUUUAGCUCAGUGGUAGAGCGCUUGCCUAGCAAGUACAAAGCCCUGGGUUCGGUCCCCAGCUCCA
Molecule: transfer RNA, 69 nt
Filed under: Rattus norvegicus (Norway rat)
Lineage: Eukaryota; Metazoa; Chordata; Mammalia; Rodentia; Muridae
Rfam family: tRNA
About the family: Transfer RNA (tRNA) molecules are approximately 80 nucleotides in length. Their secondary structure includes four short double-helical elements and three loops (D, anti-codon, and T loops). Further hydrogen bonds mediate the characteristic L-shaped molecular structure. tRNAs have two regions of fundamental functional importance: the anti-codon, which is responsible for specific mRNA codon recognition, and the 3' end, to which the tRNAs corresponding amino acid is attached (by aminoacyl-tRNA synthetases). tRNAs cope with the degeneracy of the genetic code in two manners: having more than one tRNA (with a specific anti-codon) for a particular amino acid; and 'wobble' base-pairing, i.e. permitting non-standard base-pairing at the 3rd anti-codon position.
Source: Rfam by way of RNAcentral